AAAAUAGAAGCAAUAAUCUGCAAAUGAACCCAUUCAGACCGUAACAGAACUACAAAUAAGUUGCAAUGCUUUAAACCAGUGGUUCCCACACUCUGGCUCAGACUGUGGAGGCAUUGUGAGGGUCUCAGACUCCACGUGAAUGCCAACUCUGGAGUGGAACUAACUGGAUUUAAAUCUCAACCUUCCCUUUCCUACAGGUGUUCUCAUUUCCUAUGGGUGCCUCAUUUCCUCAGUUGUAAAAUGGGGGUUACCCACCUCAGAGGGGAAUUUGGGGAAUUGAAAUGAGACAGUGUAGACAUACAUAUGCAUUCAGUAUGUGUUAGCUAUUAUCACAUGCUGCAAUUUUUCGGAUGUUAUGUAUUCACGUAAAAGCAUUACUGAACUCGUGGUAUCUUUCUUUCGUGAUUUAUGAAUGAGACACAGCUUCCACCACGUGAAAGUCUUCAUAUUUACCUUGAAUCACUUGUGGUUGGCUACCUCUUCUCUUCCUCUUCUACCUUCCUCUUUCCGCGCAGCCGGACAUCCUGCAGGCCAGCAGACCCUCUCACCUCAGCAUCUGAGCCAGCUCUGCCUGAGCUAUACUAUUCAAUCAACUACAGACUCCUCCUUCCACAUUGCAUCAUUUUGGUGUUACCUUGCUCCGAGUACUGAGCACUGAGCCCUCUUGUUCUUCCCCAAUUCAUAGUAUCCAGAAUCUAAAUAGACAUGGUGGAUGCUCUCACACCAGCCCUCAAUAUGUUCCGUUCUUCAUGAGUCUCCUGUCUCAAACCCUGGCAGUUUUCUCAGUAAUUUAGAACACUUACUGUGAGUCAACAGCUUUAUGCCCAUUUGUGUCCUUCAUCUCUACACCUUUCAGCAGCCCUCCAAGGUAGGUGUUAUUACUCCCAACUAUGAGCAAACUGGGGCUCAGAGGGAUGAAACCAUUAGUUCUGGGUCACAGAGCUGGUAAGUGGUAGAGUCAGGAUUCAAACCCAAGGCUAGCCAACUCUAAGACCAAGCUCUUGCCACUUGUCCGCUCUAACUGCCUUAAGAAUAGAAGUUAGAAAUCCAGCUGGAUCUCUUCUUUGCGCUCCCCCCCCGCCAUGGAUAGGGAACUUUUUCCACCCCCACCCACAUAUCCAACUAUUGGUCUGGAUUCCCUGUUGCUCCUGCCUGGCUGAACCACUGUAGUCAGCAGCUGCCAUUGAUAUAGCUCCCCUUGUCUACAUCCCGUGUGCAUCCUCCCCUAGAAAUCAGCCCCGGGUCUUUCUCAUUCUGCUGAAAAGUAAACACGUAGUGUGCCCAGGAUAAGCUAUGACAGGAUAUUCAUAAUUCCUUAUGCCUGUGUUUAGAGAAGAAAAGCUCACACAGUGAUAAGUGUUUGGAUCUGGCAUGAACUGAAUAGAGCCUGGUGCCUGAGGACAUAAAUCAUAAGUCGCUCAUUGUAUCAUAACAUUUGUAAUUAGUACCUUCCUUCAACAAAAGAAGGAAGACAUUUGGGAUCCUGGAAUGUUUUUAUCUAAGAUGAGCUUUAUGCAUUAAACAAAAGAUUUUGUUGUGGGGCAUUUUUGAAGCUUAUCAGCUUAUGAAAAAAGUACCGUGUGACCAUACAGCCAACCAGCUUUGGAAAGUAUGAUUGUAAAACCAGACUGCCUUGAUGUGUUGUUGAAAAGGCACGUCCUUGUUGAAAAAGUAAAAAUAUACCAUUUUGAGCGCCCUUAUUCUGAAACAAAUAGCAUUCCUGAGAAAUUGUGGAUCUGUUUAUGUACUCUUAUUGGUUGUUUUGGUUUGGGGAACAUAAUCCUACUACUCCCAAGUAGGAAUUCAGUCUUUUCCUGAGGCCAGGGCAAGGCUCCACAUCUGGAUUUGUGCUCACGUACCUGGACGGAUGACAAGCUACUUCCCUGUGUCAAUUAGGUUGCCUUUAAGAUGUACCUGGGAAUUACACCAAGUGUGACCUGUAACAAUCCAAGCAGAACUGAAUUUUCCCUGAUCUUAGACAAGAAUCCUCUGGUGGAGUUUGUGGAAGAGCUCCCUGCUGGGCGAUCGUCUCUGUGCUACUGCAAUUUACUCUGUGGGAUUAUCAGAGGUGCCCUGGAAAUGGUAAAGCAUAUCUAUUUCAUUGUGUUGGGUAUAUUCCUUAUCUCGUGCUGUGUAACAGAUUACCCCCACAUACAACCGUUUAAAACAACUAAUAUUUAUUAUCUCACACAGUUUCUAAGAAUCAGAAAUCCCGGAAGAGUUUUGCUAGGUGGUUGUGGCUAACAGCCUUUCAGAGCGUAAUACACACACGAUCCGGCUGUUGGUCCCUUCAGGGCUGCAGUCCCUGAACACUUGACUGAGGCUAGCCGAUCCACCUCCAUGCUCACUCAGGUGGCCUCACUGGCUGGCUGGCAGCUGGC
Molecule: RNA transcript, 2381 nt
Organism: Prionailurus viverrinus (fishing cat)
Lineage: Eukaryota; Metazoa; Chordata; Mammalia; Carnivora; Felidae
Gene: TRAPPC3L
Gene name: trafficking protein particle complex subunit 3L
Exons: 2
Source: RefSeq, a predicted model, not a curated record